RNAcentral lists this ribosomal RNA (301 nucleotides) under uncultured bacterium. Its description in RNAcentral is "partial 16S ribosomal RNA". It matches the Rfam family "Bacterial small subunit ribosomal RNA", at positions 509 to 808 of the family's 1533-position model. The record is from RNAcentral.
CAGCAGCCGCGGGAAUACAGAGGUCUCAAGCGUUGUUCGGAUUCAUUGGGCGUAAAGGAUGCGUAGGUGGCGGUGUAAGUCUAACGUGAAAUCUCGGGGCUCAACCUCGAAAUUGCGUCGGAUACUGCAUUGCUAGAGGAUUGUAGAGGAGGGUGGAAUUCAUGGUGUAGCAGUGAAAUGCGUAGAUAUCAUGAGGAAGACCAGUUGCGAAGGCGACUCUCUGGGCAAUUCCUGACACUGAGGCACGAAGGCUAGGGGAGCAAACGGGAUUAGAUACCCGAGUAGUCCCUGUCUCUUUACA